This 820-nucleotide ribosomal RNA is filed under the name uncultured Methylibium sp. RNAcentral describes it as "bacterial SSU rRNA". It matches the Rfam family "Bacterial small subunit ribosomal RNA", at positions 8 to 824 of the family's 1533-position model. The record is from RNAcentral. Lineage: Bacteria; Pseudomonadati; Pseudomonadota; Betaproteobacteria; Burkholderiales; Sphaerotilaceae.
AGAGUUUGAUCAUGGCUCAGAUUGAACGCUGGCGGCAUGCCUUACACAUGCAAGUCGAACGCGAAAGGGGGGCAACCCCCGAGUAGAGUGGCGAACGGGUGAGUAAUACAUCGGAACGUGUCCAGUAGCGGGGGAUAACCUCUCGAAAGAGAGGCUAAUACCGCAUACGACCUACGGGUGAAAGAGGGGGAUCGCAAGACCUCUCACUAUUGGAGCGGCCGAUGUCGGAUUAGCUAGUUGGCGGGGUAACGGCCCACCAAGGCGACGAUCCGUAGCUGGUCUGAGAGGACGACCAGCCACACUGGAACUGAGACACGGUCCAGACUCCUACGGGAGGCAGCAGUGGGGAAUUUUGGACAAUGGGCGCAAGCCUGAUCCAGCCAUGCCGCGUGAGUGAGGAAGGCCUUCGGGUUGUAAAGCUCUUUCGGCGGGGACGAAAAGGUCCGUGCUAACACCAUGGAUCCAUGACGGUACCCGCAGAAGAAGCACCGGCUAACUACGUGCCAGCAGCCGCGGUAAUACGUAGGGUGCAGGCGUUAAUCGGAAUUACUGGGCGUAAAGCGUGCGCAGGCGGUCUAUUAAGACAGGUGUGAAAUCCCCGGGCUUAACCUGGGAACUGCGCUUGUAACUGAUAGGCUGGAGUGUGGCAGAGGGGGGUGGAAUUCCACGUGUAGCAGUGAAAUGCGUAGAGAUGUGGAGGAACACCGAUGGCGAAGGCAGCCCCCUGGGCUAACACUGACGCUCAUGCACGAAAGCGUGGGGAGCAAACAGGAUUAGAUACCCUGGUAGUCCACGCCCUAAACUAUGUCAACUGGUUGUC